Small nucleolar RNA from Amaranthus tricolor (Joseph's coat), 92 nucleotides. RefSeq annotates it as small nucleolar RNA SNORD96 family. NCBI's taxonomy places the organism in Eukaryota, Viridiplantae, Streptophyta, Magnoliopsida, Caryophyllales, Amaranthaceae. The transcript has a single exon. The record is from RefSeq and is a predicted model, not a curated record.
UAGCCAAUGAUGAAAUCAGUCAAAAAAACACCAUCUUUCGGGACUGAAUGGUCUUUAGACCUUGCUGACAUUAUUCUGCAAUUCUGAGGCUU